Zingiber officinale is the source of this 106-nucleotide small nucleolar RNA. Lineage: Eukaryota; Viridiplantae; Streptophyta; Magnoliopsida; Zingiberales; Zingiberaceae. The record is from RefSeq and is a predicted model, not a curated record.
AAACCAUGAUAAGGGCACUGUCUUUGUAGACUCUUGAAUCUUUCGCAUGCUUUAAAUAGUGAUUCUCUAUCUUCUUGAGCAAAAUUUGUAAUGUAAUUCCUCAUAU